Molecule: RNA transcript, 1655 nt
Organism: Cannabis sativa
Lineage: Eukaryota; Viridiplantae; Streptophyta; Magnoliopsida; Rosales; Cannabaceae
Gene name: methyltransferase-like protein 2
Exons: 10
Source: RefSeq, a predicted model, not a curated record
UUGGAGAUGGUGUUGUGAGUGCACUUGUUUUAUGAGUCCGUCUUAAGCCGGACAGUCACAGGCGUACUGCAAGCCUUGAGCCUUUCGACAAUGGAGGUUUUGGAAAUGAACAAGAAACUAUCUACGUUCUUAGAGACCGGCGUUUACAGAUUUGAAGACUGUAAUGCCGUAUUCAUUGACCCGGUUCAUGUUCUCAACCGCUCUUACUCCCGAUUUAGGGUUUCCCCUUCUGAGUACUACUCACGUUUUUUCGAAUCCAACCAUGCGACGCAAGAUGCUUCGACUUCAAGAAAGAGAAAGCGGAAGAAGAAGACGAAUCCUCACACUCUCAACGAAAGAGAACGGGUCGCCGAUCAGCGUCACCAGGAAGCAAAACCUCUUUUAUUAAAGGCAUGCCAGUCCUUGCUGAGAGCAACUGAUCUUUUGGAGGUCAUGAACAAUUUGAGAAAUGGUUCAGAUUCAUCUUCUUUGAAAAACAGAGACUUAUCGCCAUCAUCACCAUCAACUUCAGCUGUAGAGUCAUUUAUUGAACUCGGACGGGUCUGGCAAGCUCCUUUAUACGAAAUUACUCUAAAACUUCAUCCUUAUGAAACUGGAGGUUACUCUACCACUCAAUUCUCUGAACGAGUUAUCCCUGUAUUUAAUAACUUAAUUUCCAAUGACACCAGUGAAGAUGUGGAAGCUGAGUUUAUGAACACUCAAUAUAUUUUACCUCCAGAUAGUUGUUUCUACAUGUCUGAUCUGAGGCAGAUUCACAACCUAAUUCCUGCUGAGAAGGACUGUUGCUUCAAUCUUAUUGUGAUUGAUCCACCAUGGGAAAAUGGAAGUGCUUACCAGAAAUUGAGGUACCCAACUUUGCCGAAUAAGUAUUUCCUCUCCCUUCCUAUCAAGCAACUUAGCCACACAGAAGGAGCGCUUGUAGCGCUAUGGGUGACCAAUAGGGAGAAAUUACGUGGCUUUGUUGAGGAAGAACUAUUUCCAGCGUGGGGGGUCAAAUAUAUUUCUACCUUUUACUGGUUGAAAGUUAAAGCAGAUGGUUCGUUGAUAAGUGAUUUGGAUCUUUUUCAUCAUAGGCCAUAUGAAUGCAUUCUUUUGGGACGAUGUCAUGGGGAGUCCCUGGAUUCCAGUGCCACAAAAAUAGAUUCCAUACAAGAUAAUCAAAUUAUCAUUAGCAUCCCGGGUGAUUACUCGAGGAAGCCCCCCGUUGGAGGCAUUUAAAUUUGUAUUUUUGGGCUUAAAGUGAAUGAAGUAUCUAAGGGUGCUAAUUUUUUUUGGGAACAUUUGGAGGUGUUGAGUACACUUUUGGAGAGGCUGACAGGGCCUGGAGGUGAAAUUUGACGUUUUGUUGUAGGAAUUUAAAAAUUGUAUUUUGGGGUCUAAAGUGAUACUAUGAUGUCUAUAAGGAUCCCGAGAAAGUUUGGGAACAUUUGUAGAUAUUUUAGGUCACUUUUGAAGAAGAUGAUCAGACCUGGAGACGAUGUAUUGCGCACACAUGUGCGCAAAGGAGGCGAGCAGGUCUGCUACAGGAGUAUGUUGCUGGGAAUAGUCCGGUUCGCUGUCUGGAACUAUUUGCCAGAGAAUUGGUAUCUGGAUGGGUUUCUUGGGGAAACGAACCCCUUCAUUUCCAAGAAUCGCGAUACUUCAAUGAGAAAAAG